RNAcentral lists this long non-coding RNA (323 nucleotides) under Ananas comosus (pineapple). RNAcentral's name for it is "long non-coding RNA (ACOM_LNC026365)". The record is from RNAcentral. Lineage: Eukaryota; Viridiplantae; Streptophyta; Magnoliopsida; Poales; Bromeliaceae.
AUGAGGAGUGUGACACUUUGAUCCUAAACUUUAAUAAUUGUAAUUUCUAUCUGGAAUUUAUGAUAUUGUUGCAAUAAAGUGCUGCAGUGUAAUUUUAUUUGUUGAAUGAUAAUGUGUAACUAAUGUGACAGUAAUAUAGUAUCUUCAUUAUUUUUACGUAUGUUAUCAAUUAUAAUACUGUUAUUUUACUGCCACAUCAAUCAUAAUACUAUUACAUCGGAUUAUUGAGAUCUGAUAUCACAAAUUUUUCUUUCUUUCUUUUCCAUCAAAUAUGAGAUUAUUGGGGUGUCACUAAUUUUUUUUUCUUUCCAUCAAAUGUGGGA